CCAAAUUUUAUCUCUUCUAGGCGGUGGUAAAGAAGGGAAUGUCUUUUAAGUUAAUGGAAUGUUUGUGUCUGUUCUUGGUUGUAGAAAUUGCUGGACUUUGCAAGACAAUAUAUUUUGCACAUGAAAAACAGUUAAAAGAGCGUAAAGUCGAAGAAGAGAUGGAAUUUCUCCUUUUGCCUUAUUUCUGAUCCAAUGAUUGCUAGAAAAGAGAUAUCUUUUUGAAAAGGUAAGUAAUGAUUUCUAAGACACAGUUAAAUUGCUUUCUCAAAAGGAUGUAGGUAUAUGUAAAUGGACUAUAUCAAACUUAGACAUGGCAAGAUUUGAGUCUACAAGAUCUUAUAGGUAAGCAGCAGCGAAACUGGCCCUAGUCUUAUAUGCGGAUUUCCACUGAAGGAAAGUUGAUGGGGAGUUCCUCUAUUCAUUGUCAAUGGAAGACAUUGAGAGCUGGAAAUUCUUUGUGGAGACUUGUUUAGUUAGUUGUCUCGACCACCUAGUAGGAUGCAUCAAUGGAGUCAUGGAAUGGGCAGCUAGGGCAGGGUGGAUAACAGCCGACAUCAAGGAGUGUAGGUUAAGUAAUAUAUUGACAUCAUUUCGUAUGUAUUCCGUCGAAAUAAUCAUAUAUGCAGGUAAGGUAGAUGGUGACUUGUUUCUAUCAUUGGAUAUAUGGAUGUUCACCAUCCAACUUAAAGUAACAACUAACAAGUGACAUCCAGAUUACACCUUCAUAUAAGACUAUUUCGACGGAAUACAUAAAAUUGAUAUCAGCGCAUUACCCGUGGUGCAGGUGCAUGGAACUACUUAUCAGGAGGAGGAAUUUGUCAUGGCCUUGACUGUCAUAUCUAGGGUCAAACUUUUUGUUAAAAAAAAAAGGAAGAGAUCCCCACCUUAUGGAAGUUUUCCAUGUCCUAUAUAACUAUCCCCCGGAAGGGGCACAAAAAUGGUCCCUAACCCCAAAUCCUUCAGGAACCUUAGUUGGGAUUGACGAGAAAAACAGGAAGAGAUAUGGAGCAAACUAACGAAGAGGAAGGCGGGAGGAAAAGUUGGGGAAGAGGCCGUCUUAAAUGCACAUGAUGACUGACAGCGGCCUAGUGUCAGGACAGAUGAAAGCAAGUGGAAGAUGACACUAGACCUAGGUUUCUUGGGCCAGGAUUUAUGGACAUUAAAUCAGUCCCUCCCAGUGUUGUGAAGAGCGUGAAGCGAGGAAAAGCGACAACCCCCAUUUCACGAGAAGCGAGAAGUGAAGCGCUCGAUUUUUUGAAGUGAAGCGGAAUUUAAAAAUAAAAUUAAAAUAAAUACUGCAUAGACAACACAUGUAGUUGUAAGCAAAUGUUCAAUACUUUAAUUAAAAAACUAAAUAGUAGCAUCAAUUAAAGCACAAAAUGAGCAUCCUAUUCUUCUACAUUUGGAUCACCACCGAUUAGAUGUGCUUUUUGACGAUAGAUUUUCCCAUUUGAAAUCUUAUCACAAAAAAGACAUCUAAUGGCCAUCUUGUUGGUCUCGCUAACAGAGUAAGCCCAAACCGGUUCUUUCCUAUCUUCUUUUGGCGCCAUUAAAAGAACAACUACAUAACACAUAAGAAAGGCAAUAAGAACUAAGAAUAAAGGAUAUAAAAAAUUAGAGGAAUUCUCUGUUAAAAACUG
This is a non-coding RNA of Nicotiana tabacum (common tobacco), 1640 nucleotides long. Lineage: Eukaryota; Viridiplantae; Streptophyta; Magnoliopsida; Solanales; Solanaceae. The record is from RefSeq and is a predicted model, not a curated record.